AGUGAACGCUGGCGGUAGGCCUAACACAUGCAAGUCGAACGGCAGAACAGUAAGAGCUUGCUAUUACGGGUGGCGAGUGGCGGACGGGUGAGGAAUACAUCGGAAUAUACAUUUCCGUAGGGGAUAACGUAGGGAAACUUACGCUAAUAACGCAUACGACCUACGGGUGAACGCAGGGGCACUUCGGACCUCGCGCGACAGAAUGAGCCGAUGUCGGAUUAGCUAGUUGGCGGGGUAAAGGCCCACCAAGGCGACUAUCCGUAUCUGGACUGAGAGGAGGAUCAGACACACUGGAACUGAGACACGUCCCAAACUCCUGCAGUAGACAGCAUUGAUGAGUAGUGGACAAUGGGCGCAAGCCGGAUCCUGCCAUACCGCGUGGGUGAAGAAGGCCUUCGGGUUGUAAAGCCCUUUUGUGAGGAAUGAAAAGCAACAUGUUAAUACCCCGCUGUUCUGACGUGGCCCUAAGAAUAAGCACCGGCUAACUUCGUG
This 492-nucleotide ribosomal RNA is filed under the name uncultured bacterium. RNAcentral's name for it is "partial 16S ribosomal RNA". It matches the Rfam family "Bacterial small subunit ribosomal RNA", at positions 29 to 507 of the family's 1533-position model. The record is from RNAcentral.